GAUGAAGACGUAGCAAAAUGCGAUACUUGGUGUGAAUUGCAGAAUCCCGUGAACCAUCGAGUUUUUGAACGCAAGUUGCGCCCGAAGCCUUUUGGCCGAGGGCACGUCUGCCUGGGCGUCACGCAUCGCGUCGCCCCCCACAAUUCUCCGUAAAGGGAACAUGUGUUUUGGGGGCGGAUAUUGGUCUCCCGUGCUCAUGGCGUGGUUGGCCGAAAUAGGAGUCCUUUCGAUGGACGCACGAACUAGUGGUGGUCGUAAAAACCCUCGUCUUUUGUUUCGUGCUGUUGCUCGCAAGGUAAACUCUUUAAAAACCCCAAUGUGUCGUCUCUUGACGACGCUUCGACCGCGACCCCAGGUCAGGCGGGACUACCCGCUGAGUUUAAGCAUAUCAAUAAGCGGAGGA
This 403-nucleotide unclassified non-coding RNA is filed under the name soil metagenome. RNAcentral describes it as "partial contains 5.8S ribosomal RNA, internal transcribed spacer 2, and large subunit ribosomal RNA". The stretch from base 1 to 121 matches the Rfam family "5.8S ribosomal RNA", at positions 35 to 154 of the family's 154-position model. The record is from RNAcentral.